Molecule: RNA transcript, 2859 nt
Organism: Thunnus maccoyii (southern bluefin tuna)
Lineage: Eukaryota; Metazoa; Chordata; Actinopteri; Scombriformes; Scombridae
Gene: sox14
Gene name: SRY-box transcription factor 14
Exons: 4
Source: RefSeq, a predicted model, not a curated record
UCCUCCUCUCCAGAACAAAUGGACCCGGAGAUUACAGAAGUCAUGUACAUUGGAGGAUUUGAAAGAAGAGCAUUGGUCACUGGUUCAAACAUUCAAAAUGACCCACAGAUGGUGAUAUCUUCCUGACAAGACACCUCUUGCGAUCAGUGGCCACACAGGAAGUUAACCAGCUGAUCGAGAAGACCCGAGAUGGCCAUGGAUGUAUCAAGAGAACUGGAUAUGGCACCGCUACUCAGCCUUGCUGUCAAUAUCCCCCAGUGGCCACUCGCAGUAGUGCAACAGAAAAGUCUCCUGUGACCUAAAAAGCAUUUUCACCAUGGAACACCAUCAACUGCAAACAAGGUCAUUUAUUACUCUUUCUAAUCUAUUAAUUUUUAAUCCAUGAGGGUUUGUAUAUGUAAUACUUUCCUAGAGUUUAGAAAUACAUCCCAAUGUAAAGUCUGUGGACUGAAUGGGAACACGUGGGCGGGGACAACAGGAAAUACUCAGUGGGCCACACAAAGCAGAAGCACACCCAGAAGGGUUUUUUGGCUUAUGUGCCAGAUUUGAAUUGUGGCGUAACACAUGGAGAGCUGAGGCAAGACUACCUGUUGCUGUGAGUUUUGACAGUCUGAUAAUUUGCCACCAAAACAACUGGACCCAUGAAAGAGAGACAGCUAACACUAGCUAAACCCCUUCUUUGUAUAAUGGAAGAAACAGUAAUGUCUAGUUGGUCAAUGGUAAUGUUAGCAAGCUAGGCUAACUAGAUUCCACUUUCCAAUAGUUGGCCUAGCUUACCAACUUCCAUUUGGGUCCCCCAAAUGUUAAAUGUUAUAAAGGACAGAUGGACUUAUAGGAAGUGCUAUGUAGGCUUGUUUAAAAAGAAAAUGUCUUGUAUGAAUAGUUGUAAAAGGAUAUACAGUAUGAUGUUCUCCAGUCAGUAGCAUACUACAGAAGAUGACAGUGCUUCUCAAAUGUCAGUCAACUGCUGCCAUGAGAAACGCCCACCCAGAGGCUUGAAGCUUACUGUAGAUGCUGUUUCCACAAAUAUGACUAAAAAUGCUUUUAUCCUCUUUUGAAACAUUGAAAAUUAAGCACAGUAGCCACAGUAUAAUUAUAGUUUGCAAUGUACUUACACAAAAAGUGAGGAAAAUGAUUUUAAACCUGUAGACUUCUGGAUACAGGCGUCUCAGACACCACAGGAAGUGGUUUUAGUGUUCUUCUUUAGUGCAUCUCUACACUCUGUUCCAGCUUGAUUGGAUAGCUGUCAAGAUGCAUGUUAAUACCAGGUGUAAACAUGAUAUAUGCCUGUAGUGCCAUGCAUACUUUAUAAAGGUUUAGGAAAGGCCACAUCAUACUAGAAUUUUCUGUAAAGAAUUAGUGCACUUGUCAGAUGAGUUUGUCUCUAAACUGAAAGUAUCAAUCCAGCGCUUGUUCUUAAAUAUAGGAGCCCAGAUCAUUCUGGCAAUAUAUAGGUUUUACUAAAGGUGCCUUUUGGACAAAUUAGACUUGAUUGAAACGGCAUGAAAGUAGUUCAUUCAAAUACUAUAUUGUACCAAAGACGAAAAAGCAUGUUGAAAUUCUUACCUUUCAUUACCUACCAUUUCAGAGGUCAGAGAGAAAUGCCUGUACAAGUACCAACAAUAUAUAUAGUGGGGUAAAUAAAGCAUGAAAACCCUCUCUGAAAAAAACUCCACUAAUGUCUGUUGAAGUAAGCAAUAAGGCACUGAAAAUGAUGCAUUUAAGAGAAAAUAUAUUACCAUUUGAAAUGGACUCAGCUGUUGUCUGUUAAUUAGAUGUCCUUGAGAGAUAGGGUGCCUUCAAAAGCAACAAUAGAGCUUUUCAUCAUGUUUCUAUGGCUUUGCUAAUUAGGCCUUCCCUUCCAGACUGUUCAAGGCAACCACUAGCCCAUCUUUGGACCGUGCAUUUUUUUUUGUCUUUAUCAUUUUGUGUUAUUUAGAGUCACUGUUAUCCCUAUCUAGAUAUUUCAAUUACAUGGCUUCUUUGACACAAUGGAAGUCAUUGAAUCACUUCUUUGCACAGUAUUAUUGGUUCACUGUGUAUCAGUAAUGGUUUUGCAGACCACAAAAGCCACUGCUCAUGUGUUUGUACAGUAUGUGGUCCACUCAUAAGAGAAGAUGUAGCCUAAUCAUGGAUUCUUUUUUAGGCUUUCAAUGAGGUCUUACAUUAGACCUAUUAUGUUUAAACAUUAAACUACAGUAUAUGUUAUUUACAAUAUAUACUAGUUCUCAGUCUGUGCCGUCCCAAUGGUACUAGCAAUAAAACCACAAAGCUAGAGUGUAGGCCUAAAUACAGUAAGAAGAAUGAAGUAGUGCACCAUUCUCACUGGAUUCAAACUGCCCACAGUACCUAUGCACAAGGAAAUCACAGGAAAUGAUACGUGCAUGUAAUCCAGUGUUAUUAUGUUUAAUUUUAUCUCAUUGAUAUCAGCCUCACAGUUGACUGUUCACUCUCCUGAUGGCAUAUCAGAGCAGUAUUAAAUCACAGCUAAUGCAAACUGAACAUUUCCUACUUCUGCUGCUGCACAUUGACAGCAUUGAGUACAAGUACAACAGUAUUAUCAGCAGACUGUACUUUAAGUACUGAUAAUGCAGAAUGGCCCCUUUAGGAGUGCGAUAUUAUUAUAUUUUAUUAUUGGAUUACUAUUAUUGAUGCAUUAACAUGUAGGCAGCAUUUUAAUGUUGAAGCUGGUCAUAUACUGCUGGCUAGUUUAAUCUAUUACAAUGCAUCAUAUUUUAUGAGCUGAUUUUAUGUUUUGUGUGUAACUUGAAUCUACAGUACAAAGUUACUUGUAACUAUAGCUGUAAAAUAAAUGGUGUAAAAAGUACAAUUUUUCUUUCUGAAAUGUAAUGGGAGUUG